Pelobates cultripes (western spadefoot toad) is the source of this 297-nucleotide non-coding RNA. The record is from the annotation of a GenBank genome assembly. NCBI's taxonomy places the organism in Eukaryota, Metazoa, Chordata, Amphibia, Anura, Pelobatidae.
GCCGACUGAAGAGCACCUGCCGCCCUGACACCCACUGAGCGGAUCCUUCCGACGUCGCGCCCCCACCUUCCUCCUCCACGCUCUUCCUGCAUUCCAAUUCGGGCCGGUUUGUGAGUGACCGACUGCGAGAUGUGACGGCCACCUGUUGCCCCUGUUGCCCUGGCCACAGACAGUACCUGAUAGUACUACUGAUAGUACCUAUGAAAGAGCACUACAGACAGUACCUAUGACAGAGCACCACAGACAGUAUCUACAUCAGAGAGCCAUAGACAGUACCUACACAGACAGUACCUACAU